UACAGAGGGUGCGAGCGUUAAUCGGAAUUACUGGGCGUAAAGCGUGCGUAGGUGGAUUAUUAAGUCAUAUGUGAAAGCCCUGGGCUUAACCUAGGAAUUGCAUAUGAUACUGGUAGUCUAGAGUAUGGUAGAGGAUGGUGGAAUUUCUGGUGUAGCGGUGAAAUGCGUAGAUAUCAGAAGGAAUACCGGUGGCGAAGGCGACCGUCUGGGCCAAUACUGACACUGAGGCACGAAAGCGUGGGUAGCAAAC
RNAcentral lists this ribosomal RNA (250 nucleotides) under uncultured bacterium. Its description in RNAcentral is "partial 16S ribosomal RNA". It matches the Rfam family "Bacterial small subunit ribosomal RNA", at positions 524 to 773 of the family's 1533-position model. The record is from RNAcentral.